Molecule: long non-coding RNA, 5009 nt
Organism: Passer domesticus (house sparrow)
Lineage: Eukaryota; Metazoa; Chordata; Aves; Passeriformes; Passeridae
Exons: 5
Source: RefSeq, a predicted model, not a curated record
GUAUAAGAAAUAUUUUUUUUUCCCAGGUUUUCAUUUUCUUUGGUAAUAAUAAUGUGGGCUGGGAAGCUCAUGGUGCACUUUAGAGCUAAAAUGCUUGGCAAUCAUGGGAGUUUCCUCAAGACCUUAUUCCUUUACACUUUGUGUUUGUGUCAGACAAAUGAGGACACAGACUAAGUUCAGUGCGUAGCAGAGGGAGGAUUGCAGAGAGGGCCAUCAGCCCACUGACAAACCCCUGAAAAGCUGGGAGAAAGCUCAGCACAGAGGGGAGGCUGCUGGGUUGAACUGAUCCAGGUUAUCACUAUAUAUAGUGAUUUAUAUAUGUAUCAGGGCUUUAGUGGGGGUCUUUCCAGUCCUCCUUCCUUUUCUGUGGGACUGAGUGGUCUGUGGGUGCAAGGAGCGUGGUCUGCCUUUGCAGACUGCUUCUCACACCUGGGAGCUGGUUUGUGUUGAGCUGGAGUGCCAGCUAUGUCCUGGCUGCCUUGGGAGUAGUUUGCUAACUCUGGGGAGAUCUGCCCAGCUUAGAAAUUCAUUCUCUACAGAAUACUGGGUUUUUUUUUUUUAACAAGAUCUAACUGUAAAUAUCUGUAAACUAUAAAUAGACAAAGCAUUAAACUAAAUAUGCCAGAGUUUGUCUUAGCUGUCAGACUAAUUCAGAUCUAACCAGCCACAGAUUAUUACUCUGAAACUGUUUUUCUUCCUCCUAUACAUUAAAAUUAUUCUAAAUUUGCUCUCAUGUUAUGCUAAUCAUAGUUCUUUAUUACUGAGAUGUAAUACUUUAUUUUUCUUGUUGUUUCUCAGUAUGUUCACCUGGACAACACAUCAGCCAAACACAGCAUUGGGUUGGCCAAACCACCUGGGAUUUGAAGGGUUUUUUUGUUCCUCUUCAGUCAGAAGUGGAGGUGUGCUCAGGCAAGUGCUGCACGAGGCAAGGGAAGCCCCGAGAUACACUCUGUGUUACAGUCAGUAUUAAGCAGCUGCAAUUGAGAGCUGACUUGCUGCUGGUAUUUUGUUUGUUUGUUUUGGAAGCUCUUACCCACUUGCUUGAAUUCCUUACUGAGACACAAACUGGGAGUUCCACCAGUAAUCUUAAGAGUUGUUUGAUAGGCAGGCUCAGGAGCUCUGUUUUUCCUGGCUGUAAACCCAAACAUUUGUGGGACCACUUGAAAAAGCUGCAGCCCAAUUUAUCAGCUUUGAAUGCAACUAGAGCAAGGUGAAGAGACUUUAUCUGAUUGCCUCUGGCAUUUUCUCCAAAGCCACUUGUUUCUCAGUAGCAGAAAUAUCUUGCCCAAUUGGGAUGCAAUAAUUUCAAAGCAAGUAAAGGAAACUGCAGCUGCUCAGCUGAGUCAGCCAAAGGUGCUGGAGCCUUCUCAUGGUAUCUACAAGCUCAGGAUAGAGGUUGGAUGACACUUGUCAGUCUGUCCCACUGUGGGCCCCACUCUGUGUUGAGCACAUCCUUCUGGUUUUCCCUGUCACAUGGUGGUUCCCCAAGGGAGCAAUGCAAUUCAGACAAUGUAUUUGCAGCAAGGAAAAUGGAGUUGUUAUGGAAACAUCUGAGCGAGGCAGCUGACACGGGGUAAGGCAGGCACCAGAUUCGCUGUGCGCACAGACACACUAAAGCAGCGAGUUCAUGUAAGAGUAAUGGUGCUAUAAAGUGGAGCCUAUUUUGGGGCUGCACUGUGUGUACACCAGAGAAUGUCCAAGGAGCUUGCAGCCAGAGGCCAGUGAUGGCAGCUGGACACACAGACACAAAACAAGGACAUUUCCCUGCACAUUCUGCUAUAAACCUGGGGCCCUGGAGCCACAAGGCUCAGCUGGGAAACCCUGACCCACAGAAAAAUAAAAGUUCUCAUUGGUGUGAAAUUACUAUUUCUCCAUAAUAUCUGUCCCUGGCAAGAACACUGUUUUCCCCAUCUCAAGGGCAAUACUUCAUGGAAUUGCAACAAAGAAUUUUAUUUCUAUAUCAACUGCUUCUAUGUGCUGAUUCCAAAGGAUCUGUUCUUGAACACCAGGAUUGCCCACAAUGAGUUCAUCCAUUCAGGGAUGGUGAAGAUGGUUUGUGUCUGAGGUGCCAGGGAGGUGCAGCUCUCCUGUGACCUGUCCCAGCAACAGCUCAGGAAGGGAAGUGGGAGCUCUGGGGGGCAGGGAAGUGUUUGUAGCCCUGGGGCUGGAGGUGGUGAUGAGCUCUGGCUCUCUGCUGCCCUGUGUGCCCCCCAGAGCAGGUAAAAGCUCUGACUGCCCUCCCAACCCAGCUACUCAGCUUUGGGGUGUGAUUGUGUCAGGAACAGCUGUGCUCUCUUUAAAGAAAUUACCCUGGUUAUCUACAAAUGCUUGAAUGGUGACAGAAAAAAAUUCCUAGGUACAAGUCUUUCAUUUGAUAGUGAAAUUGAUGAAAAGCUCCUGAAAAUUACACUUAAAGCCACCACAGAAGCACUUUUAUAACAGAAAAAUGUUAAGCAAUCUAAAUUCAGGGGUCACUUCCACCUCCCAAACACGUCAGACCUGUCCAGUCAAUGAGGGAUUGUAACCUGGAAAAUCAAAAAUGAAGUGUACAGUAAAAAAUAAAAAAGGGGCUGAGAACAGACUAAGCACAAUAGCUCUGUGACAGGUUAAAUAUUCAUAAAGCAAUUCUGUGGGUAAUUGAAAUACAAGAUUGAAUGGAGGUCACUUCCACCUGUGAAUUUCUAGCUUCAAGUGAUUCUGUUCUGGGCUGUGCUGUGUCCCUGCCCUGUGCCAUGACACUGUGUGCUAUUGACACAGAUACAGAUACCUGACCUAGCCUGAGAGCAGCAGGCUGCUGUGAGCCCUGGGCAGCAGCCAGCCUGCAGGCCUGCAUGGUUACAGUUAUACAUAAACACUGUACCCACCUGUAAGAAUAUCAGCCCCAGCCAGGGGCUUACUCAGGUAAAACCUGCCACUGAAACAAUUUAUUUGCAUGUGCCUGCAGCAGGCCAAGAUGCUGAUGCUAGCCCAGGAAUAAUGAUUAUAAACAGCAUUUGUCAGCACCUGCAGUCUCACUGCAAGCAGCUAACAGGCAGCUAAAGCCCAAUUUAUACAGAAAGCAUUUAUUACAGAGUUACAAAAUAUAAUUAUCAGUGUACAAAUUUACAACUAUAAACUGAAACAGAAGUCAGGUAGUUAAUCAUACAGCUUUAAUACAAGAUAGAGUAUUAUAUACAAAUUAAAAAAAAUGGACACAACCAAUUUCAACAGUCUGUGAGACUGCUUAAAUACAGCAGAUACUGCUCAUUCUUCAGUAAGAAGAAAUGCUUUAUAAAUAUUUCAGAUGGCUGUUGCUUCUUCCAUCUGCCAGAAAGCCUGCCCUUUGAGCUGCAGGAAAACAUGUUUCUAUGAAUGCUUCUGAGUUUCCAUGAGCUCACAGGUCAAUAGUUCCUUUCAACUUGAAUUUCUUUGCAGAUCUCUCACUUGCUCUGAGCAGGAACUUGCUGCCGUAGAUGUAGGAAAUGAACCCGUCAAGCUCCAGGCUGAACACGUUGUUGAGUUUGGGAACAACUGAAGUGCAAAAGGACACAAACUGAACAAAGUGUGCUAAUGCAAGUCCCUGCAAUGGAAAUAUCCUGGCACACCAGGGGAUCUUAUUCACCUGGAGAUCUGAGCCUUGACACAUUUCAAGGUUUUUGUACUUUCUCAAGAGAAGAAAAAUAACCCAAGCCUCCAUGUUUAACUGGAAUUACCAAAGUCAGUCCUUGUGCAGGAGCAGUGUUGCACUUUUUAAAAACUGCUCAUCUCUUACAAGAUGUGUUUUGGACAAGCUAUUGGGCUGUUGGGUGGUGACUUCUGCCACUCUAUGCAAAAAGCCAAAAGCACUGAUAUAAACCAAUGCACUCAGAGGCACAAAAUGAAGAGUGUGCUCAAGAAUUUUUUAUGAUUCCUGUCAUGAAAAGAACAGAAAAAGAAUGCCUUGUAUACCUUUUAACUUGUCCUCUUUAGUGAUAAUUUUGAAGACGUGUUUAAAUUCCUGUAGAAUGAUUCCUGUUAUCCCAACAUAAGAGGGGCACUUUGAUUUUGUAACUGAAAGAACAGAAGGAAGUAUUAGUAAAUAUCAGAUGCCCUUUACUUGUUCUUCUCCUGUUGCCUCAUGAUUUUAAACAUUUUCAAACAUAAACAUUUAAAUAUUCUGAAAUAAUGUAGUUACAGUAGUCACUGGUAAAAUCUGCAGUUAACCUUUGCAACCAACAACAUGAUUUUCAAGAGUAGUUGUGAAGUAAUUAGAAUUUUUAAUGAAAGAAAUAUGAUCUCAACUAUGUGAUUCUAUAGUUAAUGAUACUGGAAGGAAUUUAAAAAUAAGCACCUGAACUGCAGGAUCAUCUCCUGAAUUUCAGAUGAUGUAUGAUGUUCUACAAGCAAACAAACAAAAUACCUGUAACAAUGGCUCCAUGGAGAUCAGCUUUGAGCAGCUUGCCCUGAAUCAUAUGGGGUUGCCUUGAAGAAGAGAACGGGAUCAAAGAAGAAGGAAAAAAAUCAAAUGAACUGUCAGAUUUACAAAACCUGACCAUGACUAUCAUAAUCACAAUAAUUGUGUGAUUCUGUGACAAUAUGCUUAUCAGUUAGCCACAGUGUUUCAAGCAGAAACUCAAUAAAACUGGAAGUAUCUAGUGUACAAAACUCUGAUUAAAUUUAAAAUAUGCCAACGUACGCAUCGGGUUUGAGUCCAUGGCACAGGUCUCUGAUGUACUGUUUCCAGAGCUCGUGGAGUGGGAGGAAGAUGGCAUAUCUGCAGUAAAAAAAAAGAUAAAUUCAAAGUAUUACACAAAAUUUAGGUAUAAGAAAGUCCAUUGGUUAAUCACUGAAGCAGUCUGUAUUUUCAGAGUUGACAUUCUUAAGUUACACAGCCUUCAGCUGCCCUGCAAGGUGCCCCACUCCAAACAGCUGCUUUACUUUAUAAAGCAAGCACAAAGCAUGCUCUUCUCUUCCAACCCAAAACUGUGAUGUCUUUUAGAGCAUCAGGUUAAGACUGAAGAGAUCUCUCCUUUUUUCCCCACUCUUUUAUC